GAGGUGUUAGCUAUCUUGAUGGUCUUGAUGCGGGUAUUGGUGGCAUUGGUGGUCUUGGUGGUGAUGUUAGUGGUCUUGGUUAUCUUAGUAGUGGUAUUGGUGGUCUUGUGGCAUUUGUUGGUGGUCUUGAUGGAAUUGGCGGUGGUCUUGGUAGCAUUGAUGGUGGUCUUGGUGGUCCAUCUAUUGCAAUAGGUAGAAAAUUUGUUAGGAGAUAUUAAAUAGGUGUUCAAACAGAUUCUC
RNAcentral lists this long non-coding RNA (240 nucleotides) under Capsicum annuum. Its description in RNAcentral is "long non-coding RNA (CANN_LNC019607)". Lineage: Eukaryota; Viridiplantae; Streptophyta; Magnoliopsida; Solanales; Solanaceae. The record is from RNAcentral.